CCUACGGGCGGCACCAGUGGGGAAUAUUGCACAAUGGGCGCAAGCCUGAUGCAGCCAUGCCGCGUGUAUGAAGAAGGCCUUCGGGUUGUAAAGUACUUUCAGCGGGGAGGAAGGUGAUAAGGUUAAUGACCUUGUCGAUUGACGUUACCCGCAGAAGAAGCACCGGCUAACUCCGUGCCAGCAGCCGCGGUAAUACGGAGGGUGCAAGCGUUAAUCGGAAUUACUGGGCGUAAAGCGCACGCAGGCGGUCUGUCAAGUCGGAUGUGAAAUCCCCGGGCUCAACCUGGGAACUGCAUUAGAAACUGGCAGGCUGGAGUCUUGUAGAGGGGGCAGAAUUCCAGGUGUAGCGGUGAAAUGCGUAGAGAUCUGGAGGAAUACCGGUGGCGAAGGCGGCCCCCUGGACAAAGACUGACGCUCAGGUGCGAAAGCGUGGGGAGCAAACAGGAUUAGAUACCCGCGUAGUC
This 464-nucleotide ribosomal RNA is filed under the name uncultured bacterium. RNAcentral's name for it is "bacterial SSU rRNA". It matches the Rfam family "Bacterial small subunit ribosomal RNA", at positions 338 to 795 of the family's 1533-position model. The record is from RNAcentral.